This 275-nucleotide ribosomal RNA is filed under the name uncultured bacterium. Its description in RNAcentral is "partial 16S ribosomal RNA". It matches the Rfam family "Bacterial small subunit ribosomal RNA", at positions 399 to 691 of the family's 1533-position model. The record is from RNAcentral.
GCGUGAGUGAAGAAGGCCUUCGGGUUGUAAAGCUCUUUCACCCGCGAAGAUGAUGACGGUAGCGGGAGAAGAAGCCCCGGCUAACUCCGUGCCAGCAGCCGCGGUAAUACGGAGGGGGCUAGCGUUGUUCGGAAUUACUGGGCGUAAAGGGCGUGUAGGCGGCUUUGUAAGUUAGGCGUGAAAGCCCCGGGCUUAACCUGGGAACUGCGCUUAAAACUGCGAGGCUAGAGAUCGGGAGAGGAGAGUGGAAUUCCCAGUGUAGAGGUGAAAUUCGU